UUGGCAGUAGUGGAAAACUUGAACUGACUGCCUUGCAACACUCUGCAAGCUUGUUUGGGCUGCAUCUUCAUCACUGUUGGGUACUGACUGGCUGGAAGUUACUGUACAAGGCGCGUUGCAGCGGAGAUCUCCACAAGCUGCUUGCCUGCUUGAGCUCUCAAUUACCAAGCCAAGUUAAAGAUCACAAGAACAGGUGGGCAAGCUUGUCGAGCUGCGUGCUUCAGUGUCACCGCUGAAACUUGGCUGCCUUGCUUGCCAUCCCUUCUGUAUCGGCUGGUUUCAGUUGGGGUUUUGCUGUUAUGCAGUGGCUUUGAUGUUGAAGAAAACUGAUUAAAAGGGGAUGCAACAGGUGUAAUACAGAAGAUCACUUACCUCUGGAUAACUCUCCUUGUUGUCGGCCUUGCAUCCACUGGACCCAGCUGGUGCUCUGCUGCGUGGUACGUAUGACCUGGACGCACAGUACCGAAGGCGAGAGACUUGUUCCCAACCUGUGGGCUGCGCCUGGAACGCUUUGUUGCAUGCCGCAAUCGCUUGCAUAUGCCUUGGCUUCGAGCAUCAAGCAGG
RNAcentral lists this long non-coding RNA (564 nucleotides) under Coccomyxa subellipsoidea. RNAcentral describes it as "long non-coding RNA (CSUB_LNC000031)". Lineage: Eukaryota; Viridiplantae; Chlorophyta; Trebouxiophyceae; Coccomyxaceae. The record is from RNAcentral.